CNACCUGCCCGCCACUUGGGGAUAACCUUGCGAGAGUAGGACUAAUACCCAAUGACGUCUCUANANNNCAUCUGAAAGAGAUUAAAGAUUUAUCGGUGAUGGAUGGGGAUGCGUCUGAUUAGCUCGUUGGCGGGGUAACGGCCCACCAAGGCAACGAUCAGUAGGGGUUCUGAGAGGAAGGUCCCCCACAUUGGAACUGAGACACGGUCCGAACUCCUACGGGAGGCAGCAGUGAGGAAUAUUGGUCAAUGGGCGAGAGCCUGAACCAGCCAAGUAGCGCGCAGGAUGACGGCCCUAUGGGUUGUAAACUGCUUUUAUAAGGGAAUAAAGUGAGUCUCGUGAGACUUUUUGCAUGUACCUUAUGAAUAAGGACCGGCUAAUUCCGUGCCAGCAGCCGCGGUAAUACGGAAGGUCCGGGCGUUAUCCGGAUUUAUUGGGUUUAAAGGGAGCGUAGGCCGGAGAUUAAGCGUGUUGUGAAAUGUAGACGCUCAACGUCUGCACUGCAGCGCGAACUGGUUUCCUUGAGUACGCACAAAGUGGGCGGAAUUCGUGGUGUAGCGGUGAAAUGCUUAGAUAUCACGAAGAACUCCGAUUG
RNAcentral lists this ribosomal RNA (595 nucleotides) under uncultured Bacteroidota bacterium. RNAcentral's name for it is "bacterial SSU rRNA". It matches the Rfam family "Bacterial small subunit ribosomal RNA", at positions 122 to 715 of the family's 1533-position model. The record is from RNAcentral. Lineage: Bacteria; Pseudomonadati; Bacteroidota.